CAGGUGUAGCAAUACAUGCUGACGAGCGGCGAACGGGUGAGUAAUGCUUCGGAAUCUACCUUAUGGUGGGGAAUAACUAGCCGAAAGGUUAGCUAAUACCGCAUACGUCCUACGGGAGAAAGCAGGGGAUCGUAAGACCUUGCGCCAAAAGAUGAGCCGAAGUCGGAUUAGCUAGUUGGUAGGGUAACGGCCUACCAAGGCGACGAUCCGUAGCUGGUCUGAGAGGACGACCAGCCACACUGGGACUGAGACACGGCCCAGACUCCUACGGGAGGCAGCAGUGGGGAAUAUUGGACAAUGGGGGAAACCCUGAUCCAGCGACGCCGCGUGUGUGAAGAAGGCCUGCGGG
RNAcentral lists this ribosomal RNA (349 nucleotides) under uncultured bacterium. RNAcentral's name for it is "bacterial SSU rRNA". It matches the Rfam family "Bacterial small subunit ribosomal RNA", at positions 71 to 422 of the family's 1533-position model. The record is from RNAcentral.